This 433-nucleotide ribosomal RNA is filed under the name uncultured bacterium. Its description in RNAcentral is "partial 16S ribosomal RNA". It matches the Rfam family "Bacterial small subunit ribosomal RNA", at positions 29 to 507 of the family's 1533-position model. The record is from RNAcentral.
AACGAACGCUGGCGGCAUGCCUAACACAUGCAAGUCGAACGUGACCUUCGGGUCUAGUGGCGCACGGGUGCGUAACGCGUGGGAACCUGCCUUUAGGUUCGGAAUAACUCAGAGAAAUUUGAGCUAAUACCGGAUGAUGUCUUCGGACCAAAGAUUUAUCGCCUUUAGAUGGGCCCGCGUUGGAUUAGCUAGUUGGUGGGGUAAAGGCCUACCAAGGCGACGAUCCAUAGCUGGUCUGAGAGGAUGAUCAGCCACACUGGGACUGAGACACGGCCCAGACUCCUACGGGAAGCAGCAGUGGGGAAUAUUGGACAAUGGGCGAAAGCCUGAUCCAGCAAUGCCGCGUGAGUGAUGAAGGCCUUAGGGUUGUAAAGCUCUUUUACCCGAGAUGAUAAUGACAGUAUCGGGAGAAUAAGCUCCGGCUAACUCCGUG